GUGCAUCAGAAAGCAUCAUCAAGACGUGAGACAAUCAUGGGAACGGUUCUUGCUUUAUGUUUUCUCCUCAUUUUGGCACCAGAAUGGACCAACGCUUGGACGGCAGAUUUAAAGACUUCUCACAGUCCAUUGUUUGUCAAUCAAGUCAAUGGGACUUCAGCUGAAAUCCGCUGUGGAAUUUCAAUGGAGAAGAUCGAUGGAUUAUACCUAUACAAGAAAUUCACAGGUUCACUUAGGGUGAUGUUCCUGUAUAUUAGAAACAUGGAAGCAGACGUUCAUGAGGACUACAACAGCCGUCUAAAUUACACAAAAACGUGCUGUGAUUUUUUAAUUACAAUCUCAAAACUGAGGCCUAACGACAGUGAUGUCUACUACUGCCAUUUUAAAUACUUAAACAUGUCAACUCACAAUGAAGAAGAAUACACAAGUACAGGAACACUGGUAAUGGUCAAAGAGCAAACUUCCCCGGACUGUCCUCCAGACAAGCAGACGUGGAAAAUCGUUCUGAUUUUGAUUCUAACUGUAGUGGUCAUUGUGAUUUGCAUGGCUGCCUGCUUUUGUGUGUGGAACAUAACUGGGAAACAGAAAGUAUUUGAGCCAAAUGAGAUAAAACAACACACACCAAGGAAAGGCCAAAAGCCUCAACAACAACAAAGAAGAAAUUUCAAUUUAUAAUAUGUAACAGCCAGUGAUGUUUAUUUAGGUACUCAUCUCCCAUAUUACUUUUGUGCUUGCCAAUGCUGCCUGUGUGAGAGCUGUCCCCGUGUCCACACACAUGUGUGCGCUGAUGUAAGAACAUACCACACACCACUUCAGACAACUUGGAAUUACUGUCAUGUAAUCAAUGAAAAAAGAGAAGGAUCAAGAAAGGAAGCUGAGGCUCGGAACAUACAAGACACUGAAAUAUUCUCUACUCAAGUAUAUGUUUGUAUUUUUACUUGAACAACUGCUUGCAGUCCUUACUUUACAUUAUAAAGCACAAUUUGAGUUGAUAUUGAGCAUCUAGAAGAGUUCAGAUGGGGAAAGAUGACAAAGAAGAGAACUGAUUCAACUCUGACCGUGAAUGACGAGCUAUGAGCAACAAAUGAAAAUAUGCUAGGCUAUUAAAUAUGCUCUACAGUAUAUGUUAGAUGGAUAUAUAAUUAGGCAGCUGUCAAUAGGCCUUAAGAUACUGAAUCUCUGUGAGAUAGAUAGAUAGAUAGAUAGAUAGAUAGAUAGAUAGAUAGAUAGAUAGAUAGAUAGAUAGAUAGAUAGAUAGAUAGAUAGAUAGAUUUAAACAAGCUUAUAAUGUAGGUAGAAAAGCUUAAAAAACCUAGACAUCUCUAAAUUAAGUGUGCAGGUAUAUUCAAAACAUGUUCUCGCGUAACUGUCUCUUACGUGUUAAAUGUAGAUUAAUCGGUGUUUUACAGUAUAACUGCUACCAGGAAGACAAAGGACAAAUUAAAGUCCUAAAAGAAUGAGUGACCCAUUCUGGCACCGCUGCAUGGCUGUCUGGGAAGCCAAGGACUGUUAAGAAGGUACUGUAGUAGAUUUCCAUGGAUACCAGAAAGAGAAAGAAACGCUAAAAGGACAGGAUAGUAAGUUAGGGGUGUUUCUAACCUUUCUCCUGAACGAUGACGAGAGAUCAUGGAAGUCAGGCAAGAGAGCACAUGAGCUCUUGAUUGAGAAGAGGCGGCACAGGAUCUCUAGGUGGGGAUGCAGCACACAGCCUGCUGAUUUCAUGGUUAAGGUCAUGGAUUACCAACAGAAGGCUUUUAUCUCCUGCCUGUCUACUAAAGGAACAGCACAUGGUCCAUGACUUAGCGGAGUAGCACCACGUCGCCCUAUCAGGGAUGACCCUUAGAGGUACAGGAAAUAAUGCGGGAGCCUAACCCUCCAGUUCCUGCAGCCAAAAAAAUGCUAUCUAAGGCUUGGUUGGAAAUGUGGCAAUACUGAGUAUUUUUACGUACAUUGUAUUACUCUGAGUUUUGUUUGAUACAAUAAACAUCAAUUUCUAAAUUCUGGUCUUGUUUGGCAUUUACUUUCAAGUAUGAAGUGAUGCAACAUAAGUAAACAUCUGUAUACUGAUAGUGUGCAUAAGCUAAGCAAGAUAUUUUUGAAAUGCUAUUUCAGGCUGCCAUUUAGGCUUUUCAGUGCUCCUGUGUCAAACAUUCUCAAGUCUUGGGUUCAAAUGUCAGCGCUUGUUGUAGUCGCAUUACUAUUGUUGUGUAUAAAGACUACAGUGAUAUUCUUACUUGUAUGUCCAAAUAAAAUGCAACACCUCCAUUCUCUGGUGCAAUGACAGACAGGGAAAGUCACAGUCUGUAUGGAAUCUGCAAUCUCCUGGUGUCUACCUGGAAAAACAAAAAAUAUCCAUCGGUUUUAAACUUGUUUAGUCCAGUUUGGAGUCGCAGGGGUCAGCUCCAAUCCUGGCAGCUCUGGGUGAAAAGCAGGAAUUAAAUCUUGACAGGGCAGCAGUCUAUUUCUGGGCUGUUGUGGUUCAGUCAGAGUGGUCUUGUUUAUUUAAGAAUUUUUGCUGUUUUAAUAAAUUUCCAUCUGUUUUUGGAUGUGUUUUUUCUUUGUAUUUAUGUACUAUUAUGGUUUUUACUGUCAUGGCACUCAUUAAUUUUGUUAUUUUUAUACUUAGUGUUUUUUUUUUUUUGUUAUGUGCCC
Erpetoichthys calabaricus (reedfish) is the source of this 2652-nucleotide non-coding RNA. The record is from the annotation of a RefSeq genome assembly. NCBI's taxonomy places the organism in Eukaryota, Metazoa, Chordata, Cladistia, Polypteriformes, Polypteridae.